UGGGUGAUUCCUCCGGCUUUGC
This 22-nucleotide non-coding RNA is filed under the name Arabidopsis thaliana (thale cress). Lineage: Eukaryota; Viridiplantae; Streptophyta; Magnoliopsida; Brassicales; Brassicaceae. The record is from RNAcentral.